CGUGCAGGCGGGUUGGUAAGUCAGAUGUGAAAGCCCUGGGCUCAACCCAGGAAGUGCAUUUGAGACUGCCAUCCUUGAGUAUGGGAGAGGAGAGUGGAAUUCCCAAUGUAGAGGUGAAAUUCGUAGAUAUUGGGAGGAACACCCGUGGCGAAGGCGACUCUCUGGACCAAUACUGACGCUGAGACGCGAAAGCGUGGGGAGCAAACA
This 207-nucleotide ribosomal RNA is filed under the name uncultured bacterium. Its description in RNAcentral is "partial 16S ribosomal RNA". It matches the Rfam family "Bacterial small subunit ribosomal RNA", at positions 568 to 774 of the family's 1533-position model. The record is from RNAcentral.